AGUGAACGCUGGCGGUAGGCCUAACACAUGCAAGUCGAACGGCAGCACAGUAAGAGCUUGCUCUUACGGGUGGCGAGUGGCGGACGGGUGAGGAAUACAUCGGAAUCUACUUUUUCGUGGGGGAUAACGUAGGGAAACUUACGCUAAUACCGCAUACGACCUACGGGUGAAAGCAGGGGAUCUUCGGAACUUGCGCGAUUGAAUGAGACGAUGUCGGAUUAGCUAGUUGGCGGGGUAAAGGCCCACCAAGGCGACGAUCCGUAGCUGGUCUGAGAGGAUGAUCAGCCACACUGGAACUGAGACACGGUCCAGACUCCUACGGGAGGCAGCAGUGGGGAAUAUUGGACAAUGGGCGCAAGCCUGAUCCAGCCAUACCGCGUGGGUGAAGAAGGCCUUCGGGUUGUAAAGCCCUUUUGUUGGGAAAGAAAAGCAGCAGGUUAAUACCCCGCUGUUCUGACGGUACCCAAAGAAUAAGCACCGGCUAACUUCGUG
Molecule: ribosomal RNA, 492 nt
Filed under: uncultured bacterium
Lineage: Bacteria
Description: partial 16S ribosomal RNA
Rfam family: Bacterial small subunit ribosomal RNA
Source: RNAcentral